CCGCAAUGGGCGAAAGCCUGACGGAGCGACGCCGCGUGAGCGAAGAAGGCCUUCGGGUCGUAAAGCUCGAUAGUGUGGGAAGAAGGAAUGACGGUACCACACGAAAGCCCCGGCUAACUACGUGCCAGCAGCCGCGGUAAGACGUAGGGGGCGAGCGUUGUCCGGAGUUACUGGGCGUAAAGGGCGCGUAGGCGGUCUAGCAAGUCAGGUGUAAAAGGCCACGGCUCAACCGUGGAUAUGCAUCUGAAACUGCUAGGCUAGAGGGCAGGAGAGGGGAGUGGAAUUCCCGGUGUAGCGGUGAAAUGCGUAGAUAUCGGGAGGAAUACCAGUGGCGAAGGCGACUCCCUGGACUGGCCCUGACGCUGAGGCGCGAG
This 374-nucleotide ribosomal RNA is filed under the name Caldanaerobacter subterraneus. RNAcentral's name for it is "bacterial SSU rRNA". It matches the Rfam family "Bacterial small subunit ribosomal RNA", at positions 366 to 757 of the family's 1533-position model. Lineage: Bacteria; Bacillati; Bacillota; Clostridia; Thermoanaerobacterales; Thermoanaerobacteraceae. The record is from RNAcentral.